This 347-nucleotide ribosomal RNA is filed under the name uncultured bacterium. RNAcentral describes it as "partial 16S ribosomal RNA". It matches the Rfam family "Bacterial small subunit ribosomal RNA", at positions 338 to 682 of the family's 1533-position model. The record is from RNAcentral.
CCUACGGGAGGCAGCAGUGAGGAAUAUUGGUCAAUGGCCGGAAGGCUGAACCAGCCAUGCCGCGUGAAGGGCAGGGGCCUAUGGGCGUUAAACUUCUUUUGUGCGGGAGCAAGAAUGGUCACGUGUGGCCAGACGAGAGUACCGUACGAAUAAGCAGCGGCUAACUCCGGGCCAGCAGCCGCGGUAAUACGGGGGAUGCAAGCGUUAUCCGGAUUUAUGGGGUUCAAAGGGGGCGGAGGCUGUGAGGUAAGUCAGCGGGGAAAUGCCCCCGCUCAACGGGGUGACGUGCCAUUGAUACUGCCUUGCUGGAUUGCGGAUGCCGUGGGCGGAAUGUGUGGUGUAGCGGU